GGGCUGGGGCUCAGCGGUAGAGCACUUGCCUCAUGUGUGCGAGGCCCUGGGUUCAAUUCUCAGCACCACG
RNAcentral lists this transfer RNA (70 nucleotides) under Marmota monax (woodchuck). RNAcentral describes it as "tRNA.Met". Lineage: Eukaryota; Metazoa; Chordata; Mammalia; Rodentia; Sciuridae. The record is from RNAcentral.